CUCUACUAUUAUCUAGUAUUACUAUAUUUUUCCAUUAACAUAAAAAAGCAUAUUCUUUCUCAUUUUUAUUGAAUAAAUAAAAGUAAUAAAUAAGCAAAAUUUUCAUUUUUAUCUAUUUUCAAUUGAAUUUAAAUUGUAAAAAAAAAAAACUUCAUAAAAGAUUAGGAAAAGUAAAAGUAUAUGAUAUAGAAACCUAUAAUAUAAAUGAAUACAAAUAAAAACAAACAAAUCGAACCAAACUAUAAAAAGUACUUGUUAUUUUUAAAGUUUAAAGAAACUAUGUAAGGCAAAUAGUACUAAAUAAAAAAAAAGGAGCAAUAACGCCCUCUUGUUUUAUCAAGAGGGAAGCUAUUGCUCCUUUUUUAGUUCAAAAACUCCUAUACAAUCAGACCAAAGUC
RNAcentral lists this unclassified non-coding RNA (398 nucleotides) under Helianthus decapetalus. RNAcentral's name for it is "partial trnH-psbA intergenic spacer". Lineage: Eukaryota; Viridiplantae; Streptophyta; Magnoliopsida; Asterales; Asteraceae. RNAcentral also lists the same sequence under 1 other name. The record is from RNAcentral.